GAUGAACGCUGGCGGCGUGCCUAAUACAUGCAAGUCGAGCGAACGGACGAGAAGCUUGCUUCUCUGAAGUUAGCGACGGACGGGUGAGUAACACGUGGAUACCUGACCUAUAAGACUGGGAUAACUUCGGGAAACCGAAUCUAAUACCGGAUGAUAUUUUGAACCGCAUGGUUCAACAGUGAAAGACGGCCUUGCUGUCACUUAUAGAUGGAUCCUCGCUGCAUUAGCUAGUUGGUAAGGUAACGGCCUACCAAGGCUACGAUGCAUAGCCGACCUGAGAGGGUGAUCAGUCACACUGGAACUGAGACACGGUCCAGACUCCUACGGGAGGCAGCAGUAGGGAAUCUUGCGCAAUGGGCGAAAGCCUGACGGAGCAAUGCCGCGUGAGUGAUGAAGGUCUUCGGAUCGUAAAACUCUGUUAGUAGGGAAGAACAUAAGUGUAAGUAACUGUGCAUAUCUUGACGGUACCUAAUCAGAAAGCCACGGCUAACUACGUG
Molecule: ribosomal RNA, 497 nt
Filed under: uncultured bacterium
Lineage: Bacteria
Description: partial 16S ribosomal RNA
Rfam family: Bacterial small subunit ribosomal RNA
Source: RNAcentral